GGAGGGUACUACUACGUGGGUGGUAACUGGUCUUGAAAACCAGGGCGGCCUAGCGGCUGGGCGUUCGACUCGUCUACCCUCCGCCA
RNAcentral lists this transfer RNA (86 nucleotides) under Nitrosomonadaceae bacterium. RNAcentral's name for it is "tRNA-Ser". The record is from RNAcentral. Lineage: Bacteria; Pseudomonadati; Pseudomonadota; Betaproteobacteria; Nitrosomonadales; Nitrosomonadaceae.